CUACGGGGGGCACCAGUGAGGAAUAUUGCACAAUGGAGGAAACUCUGAUGCAGCAACGCCGCGUGGAGGAUGACGCAUUUCGGUGUGUAAACUCCUUUUAUAUGUCAAGAAAAUGACGGUAGCAUAUGAAUAAGCACUGGCUAACUCCGUGCCAGCAGCCGCGGUAAUACGGAGGGUGCAAGCGUUACUCGGAAUCACUGGCGUAAAGGACGCGUAGGCGGGAUAUCAAGUCAGGUGUGAAAUCCUACAGCUUAACUGUAGAACUGCACUUGAAACUGGUAACCUAGAGUAUGGGAGGGGGAGAUGGAAUUAGUGGUGUAGGGGUAAAAUCCGUAGAUAUCACUAGGAAUACCUAAAGCGAAGGCGAUCUCCUGGAACAUAACUGACGCUAAGGCAUGAAAGCGUGGGGAGCAAACAGGAUUAGAUACCCGGGUAGUC
Molecule: ribosomal RNA, 438 nt
Filed under: uncultured bacterium
Lineage: Bacteria
Description: partial 16S ribosomal RNA
Rfam family: Bacterial small subunit ribosomal RNA
Source: RNAcentral